Molecule: RNA transcript, 2037 nt
Organism: Argentina anserina (silverweed cinquefoil)
Lineage: Eukaryota; Viridiplantae; Streptophyta; Magnoliopsida; Rosales; Rosaceae
Gene name: glutathione reductase, chloroplastic
Exons: 11
Source: RefSeq, a predicted model, not a curated record
UCUCACUCUCAAAUACAGAAACAGAGCAACAACAGAAAUGGCGAGCUCUCUCACCACCACUCCAAAGCUCACCUCCAUCUCUUCCUACCCAACUCUCCAAACCCUCCUCUUCUCCAGAAAGCCCCCAUCUUUCCUCUCCCUCCCCCAAACCCUAGCCUCCCCCCACCUCCUCCACCGCUCCUCCCGCCGCCGCGCUUUCUCCACACGCGCCUCCCAGUCUGACAACGGUGCCGACCCCUCCCGCCACUACGACUUCGACCUCUUCACCAUCGGCGCCGGCAGCGGCGGCGUCCGCGCCUCCCGCUUCGCCGCCAACUUCGGCGCCAAGGUCGCCGUCUGCGAGCUCCCCUUCGCCACCAUCUCCUCCGACACCGCUGGCGGCGUCGGCGGCACGUGUGUGCUGAGGGGAUGUGUGCCCAAGAAGCUAAUGGUUUACGCUUCGAAAUAUACACAUGAGUUUGAGGACAGCCAUGGCUAUGGGUGGCAGUAUGAGACUGAGCCAAAGCAUGACUGGAGCACAUUGAUGGCCAACAAGAAUGCUGAGCUGCAGCGCCUCACUGGCAUUUACAAGAAUGUGCUCAAGAAUGCUAAUGUCACUUUGCUCGAGGGUCGCGGGAAGAUAGUGGACCCGCAUACGGUUGAUGUGGAUGGGAAGCUGUAUUCUGCUAGACAUAUUCUAAUAUCGGUUGGGGGGCGACCCUUUAUCCCUGAUAUUUCGGGAAGUGAGUAUGCAAUAGAUUCUGAUGCUGCUCUUGAUUUGCCUGAGAGGCCUGGAAAAGUAGCUAUAGUUGGUGGUGGAUACAUUGCUUUGGAGUUUGCUGGUAUCUUCAAUGGUCUGAAGAGUGAUGUUCACGUGUUUAUUCGGCAAAAGCAAAUUUUGAGGGGAUUUGAUGAUGAGAUUAGAGAUUUUCUUUCUGAACAGAUGUCUCUGAGAGGAAUUGAGUUCCACACUGAGGAGUCUCCCCAGGCUAUCUUAAAAUCAGCUGACGGUUCAUUUUCCCUAAAAACUAACAAAGGAAUAGUUGAAGGGUUCUCACAUGUUAUGUUUGCAACAGGGCGUAGACCUAAUACAAAGAAUUUAGGAUUGGAGGCGGUAGGGGUGAAAAUGGCCAAGAGUGGAGCAAUAGAGGUUGAUGAAUUCUCUCGCACAUCGGUUCCCUCAAUAUGGGCCGUGGGAGAUGUCACAGACAGAGUAAAUCUGACUCCAGUGGCUUUGAUGGAAGGAGGCGCUUUAGCAAAAACACUUUUUCUGAAUGAGCCCACAAAACCUGAUUAUAGGGCUAUUCCCUCUGCUGUGUUUUCCCAGCCACCCAUUGGGCAAGUUGGUCUUUCUGAAGAACAGGCUACAGAGCAAUAUGGUGAUGUUGAUAUCUACACAUCAAACUUCAAGCCCAUGAAGGCCACUCUUUCAGGGUUGCCAGAUCGGGUCUUCAUGAAACUUAUAGUGUGUGCAAAGACAAACAAAAUUCUGGGGUUGGACAUGUGUGGAGAUGAUUCACCUGAAAUUGCUCAGGGGUUUGCAGUUGCUGUUAAAGCUGGCUUAACAAAAGCAGACUUAGAUGCCACGAUAGGCAUUCACCCAACAGCCGCUGAAGAGUUUGUCACAAUGAGGACUCCUACUCGGAAGAUUAGGAAAAAUCCUCCAUCUCAGGAGAAAUCAGGUACUGACGUGAAAGCUACCGCUGGGGUUUGAUAACGAUCAAUAAUUUUCUGCGAGAUACAGCUUCAAGGUGUGAACAGCCGUGUUGUCACUCCCAAAAGUUGUACAUGAAAGCCUUUUUGAACAGAUGGUGCCGGACAGUUAGCAGCUGGAUGAUGCUUGUUUCCUCGGAGGCCACGAUGAACUUGAACAUCACUGAAAAAUUAUACCGCAGUAGAGUGAUUUUUUUUGUUUUUGAAUUGGUAUUAGCUAUAUGAUCCAGCCUUGACAAAAAUUUAGUUUUACAGUAGUGGGUCGAUUAUAACUUUUCUCCUACGAUCUCGUAUCUUUGUACAAUCUAUACAGUUAUAAUAAAUUAUUUUACUUAAAGAAAUGUU